GAUGAACGCUAGCGGCAGGCUUAACACAUGCAAGUCGAGGGGCAGCAUGACGGAACCUUCGGGUUUUGUUGAUGGCGACCGGCGCAAGGGUGCGUAACGCGUGAGCAACUUGCCCUUAUCAGGGGGAUAACCGUUGGAAACGACGACUAAUACCCCAUGGUGUGAUGACGAGGCAUCUCGUUGUCACUAAAGAUUCAUCGGAUAAGGAUAGGCUCGCGUGACAUUAGCUAGACGGCGGGGUAACGGCCCACCGUGGCUACGAUGUCUAGGGGUUCUGAGAGGAAGGUCCCCCACACUGGUACUGAGACACGGACCAGACUCCUACGGGAGGCAGCAGUGAGGAAUAUUGGUCAAUGGACGCAAGUCUGAACCAGCCAUG
RNAcentral lists this ribosomal RNA (379 nucleotides) under uncultured bacterium. RNAcentral's name for it is "bacterial SSU rRNA". It matches the Rfam family "Bacterial small subunit ribosomal RNA", at positions 28 to 396 of the family's 1533-position model. The record is from RNAcentral.